UGUGCCUUCAUUCCAUCACUUGUAAAAAAAAAUAGAAAAGAAAAGAAAGCAGGGGUCAUUGAACUCUCACGUUCUACUCUCUCUCUCUCUCCAGAUCGCUCCUCUCCCUGUCUCACUCUGAGUCUUCUCUCACUCUUGGAUGAAAACUCUCUUCUUUACCCAGAAAUCAUAGUCUUCCUCUCUCUUUCAUUCUGAAAUCCCAAAUAGGGAAACCCCCAAUCUCAGAUUCCCCAAAAUCAACCAAAUCUCUAUUGGUCGAACCCUCAAUCUGAAACCCAAAUUUCAUUGACCUAACUCUCAUCUCCACAAUUAGAGGAUAUACACCGACAAAUAAGACGAAGUUCAUGGAAAUCCUACUUCGGCUGCUCUAGCUCCUUCCUAGGUUCACGCACAUCAAUUUCAUUUCCUCAUGGUAUUGCAAGGCUGGGCAUCUUGCUGAGUUUUAUGAGUAUUGCAAGGGCUUGAAUCUUGCUAGAACUUUUCAGUUUCCAAGAUGGUGGAUCUCAGCCCCACGUCUGAAAUCUUAAGUCCGGCAAGUAUGCGGAGCGUGUCGGCGUCAGAGCUCCGGUGUAUCUCUCUGCCGUCCUUCAAUACCUGGCUGCUGUGGGGUCUUUACUGAUUGAGCUUAUUCAGCAGAUGCAAGUACAAGGUGUGCAGGAUUCCUGAGAAAGAAUUUUUCAAAGCAUUCAAGACAUACCCGCGUCUAAAGCAGAAGGUUAACAAUUUCAAUCAUCAAAGGUCUUCCAUUAAUAACACAGAGGAGGAAUUUGUUGCCAUUUGACCCGAAUGGACAUGGACAACUGUUGACCGGAUCCUUGCUUGCAGGGGCGAUGAUGAGAAGCAAUAUCUUGUAAAGUGGCAAGAACUUCCUUACGAUGAAUGCUAUUGGGAAGUGGAGGCUGAUAUCUCUACAUUUCAGCCAGAAAUAGAGAAAUUCCAUAGAAUCCAGUCUAGAUCUCACAAAUUGUCUGGUAAGCAGAAGAGCAGUCUUAAAGAUGCUCUCGAAUCAAAAAAGAAGCAGAAAGAGUUUCAACAGUUUGAACACAGUCCUGAAUUUCUUUCUGGAGGUACACUGCAUCCCUAUCAGCUUGAAGGUUUGAACUUUUUAUGCUUCUCCUGGUCCAAACGAACUCCUGUGAUACUUGCAGACGAGAUGGGACUUGGUCAGUGUAUUUAUCACUUUAACCUAUGGUAUAAUUUUCUUUCUUGAUAGCUGAAUUUUACCAGCGGCUUGAGAUUUAUUUGGUUGCAGGAAAAACUAUACAGAGUAUAGCUUUUUUAGCAUCUCUGUAUGAAGAGAAAGUCUAUCCACAUCUAGUGGUGGCUCCACUUUCAACGUUACGAAAUUGGGAACGGGAAUUCGCAACAUGGGCACCUCAAAUGAAUGUUGUGUGGUUUUUAUGUAGGUGAGGAGAGGAGCAGACAAAGCGGAGAUUUACAGUCUUGCUUUCUCUUCCACUGCCCAAUGGCUAGCUGUCUCAAGUGACAAGGGUACUGUCCGUGUUUUCAGCGUAAAGGUUGACUCAGGAUCUUUGGGGAAUGAUGGAUCAUGCAGUACAUCAGAAAUUAGUGGUUCUAAUUUAUCAGGCAUUUCAUCUCUGUCUUACAUCAAAGCUGUCCUUCCAAGGUAUUUUAGUUCAAAAUGGUCAGUGGCCAAAUUUCGCUUGCAGGAAGGUGUACGGUACAUUGUUGCUUUUGGCCACCAGAAGAACACAGUUAUCAUUGUUGGCAUGGAUGGGAGGUAACCAAAUUUGUCAUUUCUCUUAUUACUUGUCGGGUAUAUGGGGUUGAAGGUUGACUAUUUUACUGCUUACCAUACAACAUAUUUAAUAUCCUGCAAUUCCUUCCCAUUACUCAAUAAUACAGUAUGUAUGGCAAUCUGCCUCCCUCUUAUCUGAGUCUAUUGAUUUUUGCCCUGGCUACAACUAAAAUGUUUGUUCCUCAUUUUAGUUUGAUCCAUUUAUCUGCAGUCAUUAGCCUAGAUUUAUGUGGAACUUGGUUUCUGGGUUCAUUAGUUCCAUGAAUUAUUGCCUAACUAACUUUUUGUAAUAGAAUUUGGGUAGAGAUAUUUUGUGUGUGUGGCUGUUUUCCCUUUGUUACUUGUUCCAGAUUACUCCAAGGGAUCAUUGUGGUCUUUGGUUGUAAUACUUGGGCUAGUAAAAUCUGUGGUUUGCAUGUUGUCAGGUUCGAAUAUGGUGACAUCUUCAGAUAUCUUUCAGUUGGUCAAUUGUUCAAUUGAUUCUAUAAAAACUCUUAAUUGAUUGUCAUAUUCCACUUUCAUGUUUGUUGCUGUGAAAAUUUCUUCUACUUGUUAGGAUUUAAAUAACGAAGUAUUUUUCAUAUAUUUUAUUCUAAUGCAUGUGUAUGAUUGAUAACAGUAGCAAAAGCAAUAAAGAGAAUGGUUAAACUUGAGUUUUAAGCCACCAAGAUGGUGAGUUAUGCUAGGAGCUUGCGUUGUGAGGAUGUUGAGUUAAGCCACUGUCAUGUUCUUACUUUACUGUCUCCCAGCAAUAAAGAAAAUAUAAUGGUUGAUGGCUUUCUUUCUUACUUGUGUGCAAGCUGAUAAAUCACUUAUUCAGUUACUGAAUGUCUCAAUUGUGUUAUUUGAUUGUGGUUUAUUAUUCAUAUUGUACCUGCCAUUGGAAGACAUAGUUUAUUAUUUAGUUAUGGGCCAAAAACUAGAUAAUGUAUAUGAGCAGCAAGGUGAGACUUGUUUCUGAUCAUUGAUACUGCUUUGUAAAAGCUGAGGCAUAAUUACUAAUUUUCUUGUCAAUUUGAAAGCACGUUCAGGCUUAAUUACAGAUUUUAUCUUAAGUGAAAGUUUGGUGGCAGAUUAAAUAUAGCCUUGAAGAAAAUAACAAGAUUUACUUUUCUUAGUUACUGUUUGAUACUAUAGACGAUGAGGUUGGAGCUGCGUUUUCCAUGGUUUACAUAUUUGGAGCUCCGGUCAUGUUUGUUGGGUGUGGGCAGUGCUACACACACCUCAAAAAGUUGAAUGUACAAUCAAUGGUGAAGACUCCUUUGGUUAGAAUGCUUAGGUUAGAAUGCUUUUGUUUUUUUAAUGUUGGUUUGGAUGAUUGGGAAAUGCUCCCUUUUUACAUUUGAAGUUUAUAGUAUGAGUUCGAUUAA
This is a long non-coding RNA of Rosa rugosa (rugosa rose), 3129 nucleotides long. RefSeq lists it as uncharacterized. The record is from RefSeq and is a predicted model, not a curated record. The transcript has 7 exons. Lineage: Eukaryota; Viridiplantae; Streptophyta; Magnoliopsida; Rosales; Rosaceae.